GUCCCAGUUCGGAUUGUGGGCUGCAACCCGCCCACAUGAAGUCGGAAUUGCUAGUAAUUGCAGGUCAGCAUACUGCAGUGAAUACGUUCCCGGGUCUUGUACACACCGCCCGUCAAACCAUGAGAGUCAGCAACACCCGAAGUCAGUAGCGUAACCGCAAGGAGCGCGCUGCCGAAGGUGGGGUUGAUGAUUGGGGUUAAGUCGUAACAAGGUAUC
This 216-nucleotide ribosomal RNA is filed under the name uncultured bacterium. RNAcentral describes it as "partial 16S ribosomal RNA". It matches the Rfam family "Bacterial small subunit ribosomal RNA", at positions 1285 to 1500 of the family's 1533-position model. The record is from RNAcentral.